This 228-nucleotide long non-coding RNA is filed under the name Linum usitatissimum (flax). RNAcentral's name for it is "long non-coding RNA (LUSI_LNC000324)". Lineage: Eukaryota; Viridiplantae; Streptophyta; Magnoliopsida; Malpighiales; Linaceae. The record is from RNAcentral.
AUCAUGCCUUUUGCUAUCUCAACUACAUAGCGAAAUAAGCAAAAUGGUGUUUGCAUAAAGGAUUGACACCAGCAUUGUUCAGAAGCAACAGCUCAAAAUUCCCGCAGCAUAUACAUCACUACCCCAAAACCCCUUUUGCCUACUACAUACCUGGCCUUUUCUCUACUCAACCAAUGAAACGGUUCGAUGGAAAACCAGGAGGACAGCAGGACUGUCCAUCCUCCACAU